Molecule: long non-coding RNA, 1183 nt
Filed under: Lathyrus oleraceus (garden pea)
Lineage: Eukaryota; Viridiplantae; Streptophyta; Magnoliopsida; Fabales; Fabaceae
Description: Pisum sativum (pea) long non-coding RNA (PSAT_LNC034019)
Source: RNAcentral
UUCAUUCCAACUUCCAAAUUUAGUUUCCACAUUCAAACACAAAUGCAUUGAUUCAAUUCACAUUUUCAUUCAACCAUCAAAAUUUCCAAACAUAAACCAUUUUUUAACACAAAUACAUUUAACCAUUCAAGUCAUUUUCAUCCAACCUCUAAUUUCUAUCAUAAAUCAAAUUUCAUACAAAUUCCAUUUCCAAUUACCUUACAACCAUACAUCCAAAUUCACCUAAUUCAUUACGACCAUUGAAUUCUAGGUACAACAAUGAAAGUCCAUUUCAAACCACAACACCAUAAAAGUAAGCUUCAAAGCCAAUAAAACCACAACCUUACAUCCAAUUCCACUAGCACCCUGAAAAUUCAUAACCUACAAGAUUCAUGCAACUUAGUCCAAGGUAUAAUCUGCAUCAUAGUCCAAACAAGGUAGAAAAAUUGAAACUCAGUUCAACACAUAUCAAAUCUAUUUCACUUCAAAUUUUCGAUUCCAUUCACUUCACAUUUCACAACCUAUCACUCAACUCACUAAAGUUCCCUUCCAACAGAACCUAUUUGACUUCAUGCUUCCAACCUUCUAUCUUCAUAACAACCUAACUCACUAACAUUUACACUCCUAACAGAUUAACUUCCCUAACCAUUUUCAGCACUCCUAACUAACUCGUUGUAACAGUUUUCUCAACUAACACAACAACUCCUAACAGAAUUAGGGAAAAGCAACAAAAGCACAAAUUUUUUAGAUGAGUAUAUAAACACAAUUCACAUCACAAAUCGGAGGAUCGGGAACUCAUUUUGUAGAUUUUCAUUUCACCACGAACCUUUCAAUCUCAUAACCUACUCAACAUAGAUCUCAGAGUUCAUCACCUUCAUCACUCACCAUUUCCAAUUACAUGUGCUGAAUUUCAGUUGGGCCAUGUUGUUUGGGGUUAGACCAUUGUUGAUGAGUUUACCACACUUUCACUAGUUCACCCCCCUGUCUGUAUGUUAUUCUUUGAUUUGGGCUUCCAUUUUGGCCCAUGCGCCAAUGCACUGAUUGCACCUUUGUUUGUGCCAUUCCAGGCCCUGGUUUUUGUGCAAUUUUGAUAUAAUUUUUUCAUGUUUUAGACCAUGUUUCUUGAUACUUUUUGGUACCAAUUUCCCACCUUUUUUCCAUAUUUCUUGAUAUAUUGUUCACCAUGAAAUUUUGAUAUAUUUGG